This 351-nucleotide long non-coding RNA is filed under the name Homo sapiens (human). RNAcentral's name for it is "non-protein coding lnc-HLF-4:1". Lineage: Eukaryota; Metazoa; Chordata; Mammalia; Primates; Hominidae. The record is from RNAcentral.
AUUAUAAGCUUGCAUCAGGUCUGUUUUUGGCAUUUCUUGGAAAUGAAGUAAUUCACUGCAGGCUUGUCAAGAAUUGGUCUUGGGGCCGGGCGCGGUGGCUGAUGCCUCUAAUCCCAGCACUUUGGGAGGCCGAGGCAGGUGGAUCACCUGAGGUCAGGAGUUCGAGAUCAGCCCGGCCAACAUGGCAAAACCUCAUCUCUACUAAAAAAUACAAAAAUUAGCAGGCGUGAUGGCGUGCACUUGUAAUUCCAGCUACUUGGGAGGCUGAAGCAGAAGAAUUGCUUGAACUCAGAAGGCAGAAGUUGCAGUGAGCCAAGAUUGCACCACUGGACUCCAGCCUGGGCAACAGAA